RNAcentral lists this ribosomal RNA (489 nucleotides) under uncultured Eubacteriales bacterium. Its description in RNAcentral is "bacterial SSU rRNA". It matches the Rfam family "Bacterial small subunit ribosomal RNA", at positions 32 to 523 of the family's 1533-position model. Lineage: Bacteria; Bacillati; Bacillota; Clostridia; Eubacteriales. The record is from RNAcentral.
AACUCUGGCGGCGUGCGUAACACAUGCAAGUCGAACGAGAAUGUACUGACAGAUCCUUAGGGUGAAGAUAGUACAGGACAGUGGCGGAUGGGUGAGUAACGCGUAAGAAACCUGCCUUUCACACCGGGAUAGCAGCUGGAAACGGCUAUUAAUACCGGAUGACACUUUUUCCCCGCAUGAGGAAGAGGUUAAAGAAUUUCGGUGAAAGAUGGUCUUGCGUCUGAUUAGCUAGUUGGUGGGGUAACGGCCUACCAAGGCGACGAUCAGUAGCCGGCCUGAGAGGGUGUACGGCCACAUUGGGACUGAGACACGGCCCAAACUCCUACGGGAGGCAGCAGUGGGGAAUUUUGCACAAUGGAGGAAACUCUGAUGCAGCGACGCCGCGUGAACGAAGAAGGUCUUCGGAUUGUAAAGUUCUGUCCUGGGUGAAGAUAAUGACGGUAACUCAGGAGGAAGCCCCGGCUAACUACGUGCCAGCCGCCGCGGUAA